RNAcentral lists this transfer RNA (77 nucleotides) under Candidatus Moraniibacteriota bacterium. Its description in RNAcentral is "tRNA-Val". It matches the Rfam family "tRNA". From Rfam's summary of the family: Transfer RNA (tRNA) molecules are approximately 80 nucleotides in length. Their secondary structure includes four short double-helical elements and three loops (D, anti-codon, and T loops). RNAcentral also lists the same sequence under 1 other name. Lineage: Bacteria; Candidatus Moraniibacteriota. The record is from RNAcentral.
GGGUGAUUAGCUCAGUUGGCUAGAGCACUUCUCUUACAAAGAAGGGGUCACUGGUUCGAGUCCAGUAUCACCCACCA